Triticum aestivum (bread wheat) is the source of this 1140-nucleotide long non-coding RNA. RefSeq lists it as uncharacterized. The record is from RefSeq and is a predicted model, not a curated record. The transcript is spliced from 3 exons. NCBI's taxonomy places the organism in Eukaryota, Viridiplantae, Streptophyta, Magnoliopsida, Poales, Poaceae.
GUCGUCUUCUUCCUGGACACGGACUCCUGCACGGGCACGAGUUCUUCACUGUCCCGACCCAAAUCUUCGAUGGAUUUGAUCCGUUCUUGACCUCUCUCCCACGCCCUACCCUCUAUAUAUUCUGCCCUACUCGUCCUAGUCGGGUUUUCGCCAAAAUCUCCGUCUCCUGUGCCCUACAGAGCCGCCCCGAUCUCGUCGCCGGAGUCCGCCGCCCGAAGCUCCUGUCGCCGGUCUCUUUCGCCGCCGUCAGAGGGGGAGCACAAGGACGACCGCAACGACCGUGGUCCGGAGCUCAACUACCCUGCCGCCGCUCCAGCCGCUCGCCAUCGCUAUCCGAGGAUCUCCCAGCCACCGUCGACGUCGCCAAGAUCACCCCCGAGGAAGUCCGCACCCGUAGGCCAUCCCCUCUUCACCUCCGUGGCCGUCACCUGCAUCACCACCGAACAGCCCGCGUGUCGUUCUUCCCCAAGUCCGGCGGUCUUCUCCUGUUUCUCCGAUUGUCCGGAGUGUGAAGCGGAUCAGAAUUAAGCAUUAGAGUACUUCAACAUCGUUCAAGGCAAGUUUGCACUUUAAUUUUGCUCAUCCUAUAUUCUACUAUGCAAGUGUGGUUUUAUGUUAUGUUAUAUGUUUGGCUUGAUAUGUGUAUUCUGUGUUACCAUGUUUUGUUGUUGAUUGUGGUAUGUGAUGGUGUGAUCAACUUGCUAUGGUAGACGCGGGCAUGUGUUGAGUGAUCCAUGAAAGUGGUGAUUGUUUAUAGCCAUAGGCUCGGGAUCAUUAACCAGGUGAAUGUGUCACUGGCAGAGCGCUCUAUUGUCCCUAGAGAAUGCGCCAUUGACAGAGCUCACUUGAGGCGAGGUAUAGUUUUCAGAAUGUAAAUCAGGUGAAUGUGUCCUUGGUAGAGCGCUCUAUUGCUCCUAGAGAAUGUGCCACUGACAGAGCGCACUUGAGAGAUACUUCUGAAGUUCUUGUCAUGUUUAUUUAGAAUCUUUGGGUUAUCUUGGGUGAGUAAAUUAGAGACGGUUGUGAGUUCAAGUAGUGGAGGUAGGUGAAGUUCUUCUCCAAACUAACUUGUGUGUUUUGUUUGUCAUACAUUGCUUUGUGGAUGUAGGUUUGCUAUAUCAUAUUGUGCGAUUUGCCAAU